GUACUCUCACACUCUAAUGAAUUUUGGAGAAGUGGACUUGGGUGUUGCUGCUUUGCUGUGGCUCAUCUUAAAUAUGCUAGUGCAACUCAUGGUUGGAUAUAGUACAGCGUGAUAAGUAUCCUCGCUGGCGCCUCAUGAAGAGGGUGUCCGAUUGGGAGCUCUGUGCUUCAAACUGUCCUGUCUGGGACAAUCUCUGACA
This 199-nucleotide unclassified non-coding RNA is filed under the name uncultured Sebacina. RNAcentral describes it as "sequence contains ITS2". Lineage: Eukaryota; Fungi; Basidiomycota; Agaricomycetes; Sebacinales; Sebacinaceae. The record is from RNAcentral.